CAACGGCGCCUCAAAACGCCGGUGCCUGACAGAGGCUCGUCCCCCGCCUCUUCAGACAGUAAGGACAAGGGCUCCAUCCCCCCUCUCCGGCCCUUGUCCCAAAAAGCAGCCGCCAUGGUCCGCCCCCCUCCAGGCCAUGGCGGCUUUUU
RNAcentral lists this small RNA (149 nucleotides) under Martelella endophytica. Its description in RNAcentral is "Alphaproteobacterial sRNA ar7". It matches the Rfam family "Alphaproteobacterial sRNA ar7". Lineage: Bacteria; Pseudomonadati; Pseudomonadota; Alphaproteobacteria; Hyphomicrobiales; Aurantimonadaceae. The record is from Rfam by way of RNAcentral.